RNAcentral lists this ribosomal RNA (329 nucleotides) under uncultured eukaryote. RNAcentral's name for it is "partial 18S ribosomal RNA". It matches the Rfam family "Eukaryotic small subunit ribosomal RNA", at positions 1470 to 1796 of the family's 1831-position model. The record is from RNAcentral.
CCCUUAGAUGUCCCGGGCCGCACGCGCGCUACACUGAGUGUCUGAGAUACGAGUCUGCCUGGUCCGGCAAGGUCUAGGUAAUCGCUAAAAGACACAUCAUGCUUGGGAUAGAUUAUUGCAAAUAUUAAUCUUGAACGAGGAAUUCCUAGUAAGCGCAAGUCAACAGCUUGCGUUUAUUACGUCCCUGCCCUUUGUACACACCGCCCGUCGCUACUACUGAUUGGAUGUUUAAGCGAGGUUCUCGAACUGCUAGCGACUUAGCUUCGGUGAGGUCGCAGUGUGGGAAGUGAACCUAGCUUUGGUGUCUAGAGGAAGUAAAAGUCGUAACA